GCGUCUGUCAGCCCCUUGGGAUGUAGGGGAUGUUUUUUUGUUGUACGUCAGUCUGGUGCAGCCUGCGCGUUUCUUCGAGGGUUUAUCCGCACGAAGAGAGCAGCCGCAGUGCCAAGCAUGGAGGAGCGGUGCGGGCACAGUGCCGUGGUGCGGAGUCCGGGGUUGAUGUUCCGCCCCGGCUGAGGCAAUACAGAGAGCAGCCAGUCCCGGCGCCCAGUUCCGUGGUGUGAUCGCGGUGCUGUGGUGCC
Molecule: non-coding RNA, 248 nt
Filed under: Oxyrrhis marina
Lineage: Eukaryota; Dinophyceae; Oxyrrhinales; Oxyrrhinaceae
Source: RNAcentral